AGUGAACGCUGGCGGUAGGCCUAACACAUGCAAGUCGAACGGCAGCACAGUAAGAGCUUGCUCUUACGGGUGGCGAGUGGCGGACGGGUGAGGAAUACAUCGGAAUCUACUUUUUCGUGGGGGAUAACGUAGGGAAACUUACGCUAAUACCGCAUACGACCUACGGGUGAAAGCAGGGGAUCUUCGGACCUUGCGCGAUUGAAUGAGCCGAUGUCGGAUUAGCUAGUUGGCGGGGUAAAGGCCCACCAAGGCGACGAUCCGUAGCUGGUCUGAGAGGAUGAUCAGCCACACUGGAACUGAGACACGGUCCAGACUCCUACGGGAGGCAGCAGUGGGGAAUAUUGGACAAUGGGCGAAAGCCUGAUCCAGGCAUACCGCGUGGGUGAAGAAGGCCUUCGGGUUGUAAAGCCCUUUUGUUGGGAAAGAAAAGCAGCAGGUUAAUACCCCGCUGUUCUGACGGUACCCAAAGAAUAAGCACCGGCUAACUUCGUG
This 492-nucleotide ribosomal RNA is filed under the name uncultured bacterium. Its description in RNAcentral is "partial 16S ribosomal RNA". It matches the Rfam family "Bacterial small subunit ribosomal RNA", at positions 29 to 507 of the family's 1533-position model. The record is from RNAcentral.